CGGCCGCUUCCGUCCCGGUAGGCGGAAGCCGGAAGUGAGGCGGAGAGCGAGCCAUGGAGGCAGAGGGGCCGGAGCAGCAGCAGAGAGGCGGGGAGCAGGGCCCAGCCCGGGCCAGAGCCAAUGGCGACUGCAGCCGCCCCGUGUCGCUCUCAGGGCAGUCCUACUGGCUGGACGUGUGGCUCUUCAUCCUCUUCGACCUGGCGCUGCUUGUCUUCAUCUAUCUGCUGCCCUGAGUCGGCCGUGGUAGUUCCUAUUCAAGAUGAUGAACUUUGUGAAAGCACGCUUUGGAAGAGGAAGACUUUAUAUGAAGCACAACAACUGGAAAUGAGUCUCCAAACUGUUAAGCCACUGAGUGCUGGGGAUACCUAUUGCUCCAUUCCUGGAUGUACUGACUGAGGGGGUCUGGUUCAUCUAUAACCAGUUUACUUCAAUGAUGAUGUAAAUUGUGCCUUACGCUUGCUUACUUAAAAUUUGAGUUGCCUGGGUAGUAGAAUGGAUUCUCUCUCAUGUAAUAUGUUAAGUGGUUGAAUAAAGACACAAAAAACAGGAUGGGUGGUUGAAGAGCCCUGUCUCUUUAAGAGAUGCAUUUAAACAAUCUUGUAGGAUUGCCUGGUUUCUUGUUAGGUCAGGUGAUUGACAUACUUUUCUUGGCAGAUCAGUUCCUUCUUGCACACUUCCAUCUCCCCCUAUCUUUAAGGCUGUUUAGAGGAGUUCUGCCCAGAAACAGUACCAGCAGCUGUACAAACAGAUGUCAACCAAAGCAGCUGUCUUUAUGCAUGAAAGUUUUACACUAGUGUGCUUCCUGCUAGUGUAGUCACCCUUUAGUAAACUAUAAAGAUUUUUUAAAAUGGU
Pelodiscus sinensis (Chinese soft-shelled turtle) is the source of this 852-nucleotide long non-coding RNA. RefSeq lists it as uncharacterized. The record is from RefSeq and is a predicted model, not a curated record. NCBI's taxonomy places the organism in Eukaryota, Metazoa, Chordata, Testudines, Trionychidae.